AUGUGGUUUAAUUCGAUGCAAAGCGAAGAACCUUACCAGAGCUUGACAUGCCGCGAAUCCUCUUGAAAGAGAGGGGUGCCUUCGGGAACGCGGACACAGGUGUGACUUGCGAAGCAUAUAUCAAUAUAUUGACUUACUAGGGAUUUAUUUAAUUUUAAUAAAUCCCUAGCGAAAUCACAAUCUUGAUCUUGGACCAACAU
This 200-nucleotide non-coding RNA is filed under the name Brassica oleracea var. oleracea. Its description in RNAcentral is "Bacterial small subunit ribosomal RNA". It matches the Rfam family "Bacterial small subunit ribosomal RNA", at positions 939 to 1196 of the family's 1533-position model. Lineage: Eukaryota; Viridiplantae; Streptophyta; Magnoliopsida; Brassicales; Brassicaceae. The record is from Rfam by way of RNAcentral.